ACUCCAGCGAAGGGGAAAUAGACUCCACUGCGGGAAGGGAGACAUCCUGAAGUCUCUGCAGACAUAUUUUAACACAACCCCGUGUAUUCUUUUCAUUAAACAGAUCAGGCAGCAGAAGCUCAGAACAUUUGCUCUAUCUGACUCCGGUCACACGGCAGCAUUGCCCCUCUUGGCUGCAGUCUUGGAGUUUCCCUCCCUUCUGGCACACGCUGAACUUUCCCAUUAGAGGCACACAUCAUAUUUUUUUCCACUCCAAAGAAUCUGGUAUUUAUCCUCUCGGCUGCUCCCAGGGAAGAUUCUUCUAAACACAAUUUCUCCUCCAAAGUUGCUGUGCCAUCAAAGUUUUCUACUCUAAGACUCUUGUCACGUAUCUCCACUUUCCUCAACUUCAGUGACACAGCAAAUGUGAGAGAACUUGGGAAAUAAUGCAGGGCAUUUCAGAAAGGGUGAACGUAGCGAUGAUUAUAGAUACAAGGUUGAGCCCUUUAGCAACUGGGACUCAAAGAGCAUGCAGGAGCAUCUCUGGGUGACAAGGCAAAAACGGCUAGCUCUCUGUAAGAGGUAGCAUCUACAGCUUUACUGUUGAAUCUGGACUGAUUGUGACUUACGUUAACCAAUAAAAUGUGAUCGAAGUAACAGUUUUUGAGUUUUGAGGCUGAGCCUCAAGGGCUUUUGCACAUUUCCACUCAUGCUUUUUGAUGCCCAUGCUAACCUGUUGGAAGAUGAAGGCAUGUGAAGAGAAAGCUCCAGGCACCCCAGUCCUCCCACCUAAGCCCCCGGAUACAACGCCAAAACUGCUGAGAGAGGCACAUGCAGAGGAAGCCAGAACUGCCAAGCAAAGUCCAGCCCAGACUAUAAACCUGCAAAAUGAUUGAUUUUUAUUUUAAGUCACUAAGUUUGGGAAUGACAAAAACCCCGAUGCAACACCCAUAUAAUUGCUUUAACUAGUCAAGUAUUUUGGUCAUUUAGGUUUUGCGUAGCCUUUUGCUAAUAUCUGAAAUAAUUUCAUGAAUAUCUUUGAACACAUGUAUUUGUGCACAGAUCCAACAGAGGCUGUCUCCAAGGUAAAGAUCUAACACUAGUGCUAAUGAGGGCAGAGACAUAAAAAUGGGAAAAAUCUUGAUAAAUGACAUGACGCUCUUUUCCAAAACAGUUGUGUUAAUAUCAUACCGCAGUCAUGAUAUGAUGUUGCCUAUUUUAUCAAUAUGAUGUAUCUUUUAUUAAAAAUAAAACUGAUUGCUAAGACAUACAUAUACUUCUUUGUUUAAAUUAAAAAUCAUACUAUUUGGAGGAUUAGGCACUUUCACAUAUACAUGCAUAUGUUUCCUAUUUACUGUGGGAAGGUUAUUGAGUUGGAUGAAACUUUUAUUUACACAGUCCCCUCUCAGAGGUGACGUGGGUAGAUGACGUUUUGCUUUUGCCCAGCAUGACUCACCUCCUUUUAUUUUUACUUUUUGGUGUUGUGACUGUAUAAUGAGAAUGAUGGACUUUUCUUUCUUUCUUUUUUUUUUUUUUGUCCCUUUGCCAUUUCUUGGGCCGCUCCCGGGGCAUAUGGAGGUUCCCAGGCUAGGGGUCAAAUCAGAGCUGUAGCCACUAGCCUACACCAGAGCCACAUCAACGCAACGCCGGAUCAUUAACCCACUGAGCGAGGGCAGGGACCGAACCCGCUACCUCAUGGGCUCCUAGUUGGAUUCGUUAACCACUGUGCCACGACGGGAACUCCUUUUUUUUUUUUUUUUUUUUUUUUUUUUUUUUUGGGACUUUUCUUGAAGAUAGGUGCCCUUCCACAAGUUCAUGACUUGUCCGUUCUGUGUUACGUCUAGGACACGUGAUCAGGCAACGCAGAUAUAUAGGCUGUAGAGAUUUAACACAUUUUAUCCCCUGAACCAACAGGGUACAUGAUGACAAUGUGGCUUCAACCUCCUGUAACAACAGAACAGCAGCACACAGAAGCGUCCUCAGAGUCCUCCUUAUUCUGUGUAUAUCCUCAGCUAAAAGAAACACACAUCACAUUUUAAAACCCUUGCCUUCUAAACCCUGUACGAUGAGAAGAGAGAGCUGGAUAGAAGUCAGUCUCAAGAAUGCCAUUUUCUUCCUUGGUUGUUUUAUACAUCUCGAGAUGAACCUUUUUAACCCCUAAUGUCCCCUGGACAUGGUAUCAGGACUUUGCUUAAAAAUCCAUCACAGAUGUUCUCAAUGUUGUUAUGGCAGCUUCUACUCUUGGGGCUCAGCAGUGAGAAGCAUCUACUACUGCAAAGAGCCUGCUCAGUAAUGGACUGAAAACACUUGC
RNAcentral lists this long non-coding RNA (2290 nucleotides) under Sus scrofa (pig). RNAcentral describes it as "lncRNA (ENSSSCG00030053337.1)". The record is from RNAcentral. Lineage: Eukaryota; Metazoa; Chordata; Mammalia; Artiodactyla; Suidae.